Molecule: small nuclear RNA, 103 nt
Organism: Bos taurus (domestic cattle)
Lineage: Eukaryota; Metazoa; Chordata; Mammalia; Artiodactyla; Bovidae
Source: Ensembl
UUGCUUUGGCAGCACAUAUACUAAAAUUGGAAUGAUACAGAGAAGAUUAGCAUGGCCCCUGUGCAAGGAUGAUACGCAAAUUCUAGAAGCAUUCCAUAUUUUU